Molecule: transfer RNA, 73 nt
Filed under: Bacilli bacterium
Lineage: Bacteria; Bacillati; Bacillota; Bacilli
Description: tRNA-Ala
Rfam family: tRNA
About the family: Transfer RNA (tRNA) molecules are approximately 80 nucleotides in length.
Source: RNAcentral
GGGGUUGUAGCUCAACUGGGAGAGCACCUGCCUUGCAAGCAGGAGGUUGAGGGUUCGGGUCCCUCCAAUUCCA